RNAcentral lists this ribosomal RNA (2653 nucleotides) under Escherichia coli. RNAcentral describes it as "partial 23S ribosomal RNA". It matches the Rfam family "Bacterial large subunit ribosomal RNA". The record is from RNAcentral. Lineage: Bacteria; Pseudomonadati; Pseudomonadota; Gammaproteobacteria; Enterobacterales; Enterobacteriaceae.
CACACUAUCAUUAACUGAAUCCAUAGGUUAAUGAGGCGAACCGGGGGAACUGAAACAUCUAAGUACCCCGAGGAAAAGAAAUCAACCGAGAUUCCCCCAGUAGCGGCGAGCGAACGGGGAGCAGCCCAGAGCCUGAAUCAGUGUGUGUGUUAGUGGAAGCGUCUGGAAAGGCGCGCGAUACAGGGUGACAGCCCCGUACACAAAAAUGCACAUGCUGUGAGCUCGAUGAGUAGGGCGGGACACGUGGUAUCCUGUCUGAAUAUGGGGGGACCAUCCUCCAAGGCUAAAUACUCCUGACUGACCGAUAGUGAACCAGUACCGUGAGGGAAAGGCGAAAAGAACCCCGGCGAGGGGAGUGAAAAAGAACCUGAAACCGUGUACGUACAAGCAGUGGGAGCACAGAGCAAUCUGUGUGACUGCGUACCUUUUGUAUAAUGGGUCAGCGACUUAUAUUCUGUAGCAAGGUUAACCGAAUAGGGGAGCCGAAGGGAAACCGAGUCUUAACUGGGCGUUAAGUUGCAGGGUAUAGACCCGAAACCCGGUGAUCUAGCCAUGGGCAGGUUGAAGGUUGGGUAACACUAACUGGAGGACCGAACCGACUAAUGUUGAAAAAUUAGCGGAUGACUUGUGGCUGGGGGUGAAAGGCCAAUCAAACCGGGAGAUAGCUGGUUCUCCCCGAAAGCUAUUUAGGUAGCGCCUCGUGAAUUCAUCUCCGGGGGUAGAGCACUGUUUCGGCAAGGGGGUCAUCCCGACUUACCAACCCGAUGCAAACUGCGAAUACCGGAGAAUGUUAUCACGGGAGACACACGGCGGGUGCUAACGUCCGUCGUGAAGAGGGAAACAACCCAGACCGCCAGCUAAGGUCCCAAAGUCAUGGUUAAGUGGGAAACGAUGUGGGAAGGCCCAGACAGCCAGGAUGUUGGCUUAGAAGCAGCCAUCAUUUAAAGAAAGCGUAAUAGCUCACUGGUCGAGUCGGCCUGCGCGGAAGAUGUAACGGGGCUAAACCAUGCACCGAAGCUGCGGCAGCGACGCUGAUGCGUUGUUGGGUAGGGGAGCGUUCUGUAAGCCUGUGAAGGUGUGCUGUGAGGCAUGCUGGAGGUAUCAGAAGUGCGAAUGCUGACAUAAGUAACGAUAAAGCGGGUGAAAAGCCCGCUCGCCGGAAGACCAAGGGUUCCUGUCCAACGUUAAUCGGGGCAGGGUGAGUCGACCCCUAAGGCGAGGCCGAAAGGCGUAGUCGAUGGGAAACAGGUUAAUAUUCCUGUACUUGGUGUUACUGCGAAGGGGGGACGGAGAAGGCUAUGUUGGCCGGGCGACGGUUGUCCCGGUUUAAGCGUGUAGGCUGGUUUUCCAGGCAAAUCCGGAAAAUCAAGGCUGAGGCGUGAUGACGAGGCACUACGGUGCUGAAGCAACAAAUGCCCUGCUUCCAGGAAAAGCCUCUAAGCAUCAGGUAACAUCAAAUCGUACCCCAAACCGACACAGGUGGUCAGGUAGAGAAUACCAAGGCGCUUGAGAGAACUCGGGUGAAGGAACUAGGCAAAAUGGUGCCGUAACUUCGGGAGAAGGCACGCUGAUAUGUAGGUGAAGUCCCUCGCGGAUGGAGCUGAAAUCAGUCGAAGAUACCAGCUGGCUGCAACUGUUUAUUAAAAACACAGCACUGUGCAAACACGAAAGUGGACGUAUACGGUGUGACGCCUGCCCGGUGCCGGAAGGUUAAUUGAUGGGGUUAGCGCAAGCGAAGCUCUUGAUCGAAGCCCCGGUAAACGGCGGCCGUAACUAUAACGGUCCUAAGGUAGCGAAAUUCCUUGUCGGGUAAGUUCCGACCUGCACGAAUGGCGUAAUGAUGGCCAGGCUGUCUCCACCCGAGACUCAGUGAAAUUGAACUCGCUGUGAAGAUGCAGUGUACCCGCGGCAAGACGGAAAGACCCCGUGAACCUUUACUAUAGCUUGACACUGAACAUUGAGCCUUGAUGUGUAGGAUAGGUGGGAGGCUUUGAAGUGUGGACGCCAGUCUGCAUGGAGCCGACCUUGAAAUACCACCCUUUAAUGUUUGAUGUUCUAACGUUGACCCGUGAUCCGGGUUGCGGACAGUGUCUGGUGGGUAGUUUGACUGGGGCGGUCUCCUCCUAAAGAGUAACGGAGGAGCACGAAGGUUGGCUAAUCCUGGUCGGACAUCAGGAGGUUAGUGCAAUGGCAUAAGCCAGCUUGACUGCGAGCGUGACGGCGCGAGCAGGUGCGAAAGCAGGUCAUAGUGAUCCGGUGGUUCUGAAUGGAAGGGCCAUCGCUCAACGGAUAAAAGGUACUCCGGGGAUAACAGGCUGAUACCGCCCAAGAGUUCAUAUCGACGGCGGUGUUUGGCACCUCGAUGUCGGCUCAUCACAUCCUGGGGCUGAAGUAGGUCCCAAGGGUAUGGCUGUUCGCCAUUUAAAGUGGUACGCGAGCUGGGUUUAGAACGUCGUGAGACAGUUCGGUCCCUAUCUGCCGUGGGCGCUGGAGAACUGAGGGGGGCUGCUCCUAGUACGAGAGGACCGGAGUGGACGCAUCACUGGUGUUCGGGUUGUCAUGCCAAUGGCACUGCCCGGUAGCUAAAUGCGGAAGAGAUAAGUGCUGAAAGCAUCUAAGCACGAAACUUGCCCCGAGAUGAGUUCUCCCUGAC